CGGUCACGACAUAGAGGAGUGUAUUCAGCUUCGAGACGAUAUCGAGGAGCUUAUCAGAUGAGGUCGGCUCGACAGAUUCAUUCGACACCGACCUGAAGGUAGGGAAGACCGGCCUAGGACCCUACCGCAGUCGGAGCCACCAAGGAGGGAGGAGCAGCCUAAUGAUCGACCUCCGAUUGGGAUUAUCAACUCCAUCUCAGGAGGACCCC
Molecule: long non-coding RNA, 209 nt
Filed under: Elaeis guineensis (African oil palm)
Lineage: Eukaryota; Viridiplantae; Streptophyta; Magnoliopsida; Arecales; Arecaceae
Description: long non-coding RNA (EGUI_LNC051594)
Source: RNAcentral